Molecule: ribosomal RNA, 776 nt
Filed under: uncultured Neocallimastigales
Lineage: Eukaryota; Fungi; Neocallimastigomycota; Neocallimastigomycetes; Neocallimastigales
Description: partial large subunit ribosomal RNA
Rfam family: Eukaryotic large subunit ribosomal RNA
Source: RNAcentral
UAUCUCUGUAGAGUCUGCAUAUCAAUAAGCGGAGGAAAAGAAACUAACAAGGAUUCCCUUAGUAACGGCGAGUGAAGCGGGAAGAGCUCAAAUUUGAAAUCUUCAAGGUUUUACCUUGACGAAUUGUAGUUUAAAGAAGUGUUUUCUGUUGAAGUUUCGGUAAAAGUUCUUUGGAAUAGGACAUCAUAGAGGGUGAGAAUCCCGUAUUUGACCGUUAUUUUCAGCUGUGUGAUACACUUUCAAAGAGUCGGAUUGUUUGGGAAUGCAGUCCAAAAUGGGUGGUAAAUUUCAUCUAAAGCUAAAUAUUGGCGAGAGACCGAUAGCGAACAAGUACCGUGAGGGAAAGAUGAAAAGAACUUUGAAAAGAGAGUUAAACAGUACGUGAAAUUGUCAAAAGGGAAGCGUUUGACACCAGUGUUGUUUUCUCGAAAAUCAAUUAAAAAUGGCUUGAUUUUGUGUUGUAUUGACCUUAAAAGCUUUCUUCACUUUUUUCAUGUCUUUUUUAAUGCACUUUUCGUUUGACAAGUCAACAUCAGUUUCUUUUGUUGUAAAAAGGUCAUUGGAAGGUGGCUUUCUUUUCGGAGAAAGUGUUUAUAGCCUUUGACUUCUGCAAUCCGGAGGAGAUUGAGGUCUGCAGCGUAGAUCCUUCGGGGCUAGAUACGUAGAUGCUAAGUUAUAGUUUUUUAUAGACAACUUGUUGACUAUAAUUAAUCAUGUAGCUUACUCGUUUGCGCUAUUUUACCUACGCUUAGGAUGUUGAAGAUGUAGCACAUCAU